Molecule: long non-coding RNA, 201 nt
Filed under: Gossypium barbadense (sea-island cotton)
Lineage: Eukaryota; Viridiplantae; Streptophyta; Magnoliopsida; Malvales; Malvaceae
Description: long non-coding RNA (GBAR_LNC004969)
Source: RNAcentral
ACUUAGUAAGACCGGGCAAAAUUGGCCUUUCUUUGUGUCUUUGCUUUAUUCCUGUUACACGAUAAUAAGCAAAGAGGGGCAGCUGUUGUAGGCCAAUUUUAACCCAUUUACAUCAAAACCCAAUUUAACCUUACCUAACCCACCAAAAUUAAACCCAAAACCCAAAAUCUUAACUACCCAAAGCCCAAUUUACAUCAAAAC